This 433-nucleotide ribosomal RNA is filed under the name uncultured bacterium. RNAcentral's name for it is "partial 16S ribosomal RNA". It matches the Rfam family "Bacterial small subunit ribosomal RNA", at positions 29 to 507 of the family's 1533-position model. The record is from RNAcentral.
AACGAACGCUGGCGGCAUGCCUAACACAUGCAAGUCGAACGAGACCUUCGGGUCUAUUUGCGCACGGGUGCGUAACGCGUGGGAACCUGCCCUUAGGUUCGGAAUCCCUCCCCGAAAGGUGUGCUAAUACCGGUUAAUGUCUUCCCACCAAAGAUUUCUCGCCUUUGGAUGGGCCCGCGUUGGAUUAGCUGGUUGGUAGGGUACAAGCAUACCAUCGCCAUGAUGCAUAGCUGGUCGGAGAGGAUGAUCAGCCACGCUGGGACUGAGACACGGACUAGAACCGGACGGAAGGGAGCAGUGGGGAAUAUUGGACAAGGGGCGAAAGUCUGACACAGCAAUGCCGGGUGAGAGGGGAAGGCCUUAGGGUUGUAAAGCUCUUUUACACGGGAUGAUAAUGACAGUACCGGGAGAAUAAGCACCGGCUAACUCCGUG